Long non-coding RNA from Globicephala melas (long-finned pilot whale), 2326 nucleotides. RefSeq lists it as uncharacterized. Lineage: Eukaryota; Metazoa; Chordata; Mammalia; Artiodactyla; Delphinidae. The record is from RefSeq and is a predicted model, not a curated record.
AGAGAACCCAAGCUAAAAGAUGCGGCAUCAGGAGUGUCCUGCAGACAAUCGGGAUGGGAUAUUGGAGUUGAGUUCCUCACUGAUUUUGUGGUGAUAAAGACCCAGGGCAUGUGAGGCAUGAGAUGCUGCAGGACCAGGCAGUACCUACACAUGCACAACCCAGAAAUGUGGGAGAUUUAAUGUCUGAGAAGAAAAAGUUUGACAAGGGGAUAUAGCAGGAAGCAGCUGGCCAUUUAAGGAACCCCACAUGGUAAGGAACUACAAGUAGCCUCUAGAAGCUGAGGGCAACCUCCAGCCAACAGCCAGCAAGAAAUUAGAGCCCUCGGUGAUACAUCCAAAAGGACGUGAAUUCUGCUGACAACCACAGGAAUCUGGAAGCAGAUCCUUUCCCAGGUGAGCCUCCAUAUGAGAAAGCAGUCUUGUUCAACACCGUGAUUUCAGCCUUGCAAAGGAUAAGCUAAGUUGUUCCUGACUCACGGAAACAGGGAGAUAAUAAAUGUGUGUUGCUUUAGGCUGUUAAGUUUGUAGCAAUAUUAUUAAGCAACAAUAGAUAACUAAUACAGACUAUAAAAUGGUACAACCACUUUGGGAGAUGGUUUGACAAUUUCUUAAAACAUUAAACAUACACCAACCAUGUGACCCAGAUAUUCCAUACUCAAGAGAAACAUUAGUCGGGAGUUCCCUGGUGGUCCAGUGGUUAGGACUUGGUGCUUUCACUGCCGGGGCCUGGGUUCAAUCCCUGGUCAGGGAACUAAGAUCCUGAAAGCCGCACGGUGUGGCCAACAAAAAAAAAUCCUGAGAAACAUAAGUCCACAAAAAAGACCCAUACAUAAAUAUUCAUAACAACUUCAUUCAUAACAGCCAAAAACCAGGAAAAAAAUUUCCAUCCAUACAAGAGUAGAUAAAGAAAUUGUGGUAUAUUUAUACAAUAUAAUGAAUUCUACUCAGCAAUAAAAUGGAAUAAACUUUUGAUAGACACAGAACAUGAAUGAAUCUCAAAAACAUUAUGCUAAGCUAAAGAAACCAGACACAAAAGAGGUACAAACUGUAUGAUUCCAUUUAUGUGAAGUCCUAGAACAGGCAAACCUAAUCUAUGGUGAAAGAAAUUGAACCAGUAGCUGCCUCUGGGGAUUCAAGGGCAGGCAUUGACUUGAAAAGGACACGAGAUAACCUUCUGCAGUGAUGAACGUGCUCCCUAGCUUGAUGGAUUACGCAGGUGUAUGCAUUUGUCAAAACAUUUUAAACUGUACACAUAAGAGCUGUGCUUAUCACUAUAUGUAAAUUGUACUUUAAUUUGAAAAAAAUAAAAAACAAAGGACAAUGGAAAUACCUGUUUGGUAAAUGUUAGUGCAUAUGUCUCAAGCCAAAUUAUCCCAAGAUGCUUGUAAAGAUAAAGAGAAAAGCAUAGACCAUUUGCCAUGUGGAGUCUGUAAGAACAUAGGGUUCCAGAGGAAAAGGCACCUCUGAUUGGUUCUGCUCUCUCAGUUGAUCUUUGUGCCUGGAGCUUCAUGGACUCAAUCCACCCAGAGAAGAUUGUUCCACCCAAUGAAUGCUGUGAACUCUAUAGCCCAUAUUUAAUCAAUAAGUAGUCACAAUAUGACCUAUACACAAACAAGGCUACUGAAAUAACUUUAUCAUCCUUAUCAUGUGGUUACUUCAAACAAGAUCUGACUUUCACCCAUUAGCAGAGAUAAUACUUAAUUCAAAAUAAUAUUUGUUGUGGCACUGUGCCCAGCAAUGUAUGGAGAUUAAAUUAUCAAAAGACCUAGGAGUGAAAAACUGUCAAGGACAUCAAAAACAAGAAAAGUCUGAAAAUCUGGCAUCGUCUAAGGAGCCUAAGGAGAAAUAACAACUAAAUGUAAUUUCAUAUCCUGGAUGGGAUCUUGGAACAGGAGGACAUUCGGUUAAAAACCAAGGAAGUCUAGAGACUUCCCUAGCAGUCCAGUGGUUAAGACCUUGUCCUUCCAAUGAAGGGGGUGCAGGUUCGAUCCCGGGUCAGGGAGUAAGAUCCCACAUGCUGUGCAGCGUGGUGAAAAGAUUAAAACAACAACAACAACCAAGGAAGCCUAAAUAAAAUAUGGACUUUAUUAAUAAUCAGAAAAUAUUGGUUCAUUAAUUGUAGGAAAUGUCCUAUACUAAUGUAAGAUGUUAAUAAUAAGAGAAAUUGUGUGUAAGGGUGAGAAGAUAUAUGGGAUAUCUCUGUACUAUUUUCUCAAUUUUUCUGUAAGUAUAAAACUGCACUAAAAAAUAAAAUCUAUUUUUUACAAAAAAGACCAUGAGAACAAGCUUUUAUAUCACGGUAGGUAGGAUCUGGGAAACAAGCACU